GUCGAGAAUCUUUCACAAUGGGGGCAACCCUGAUGGAGCGACGCCGCGUGGAAGAUAAGGUCUUCGGAUUGUAAACUCCUGUCAUGCGUGAACAAGGUUGCUUGGUUAAUACCUGGGCAAAUUGAUGGUAACGCAAGAGGAAGAGACGGCUAACUCUGUGCCAGCAGCCGCGGUAAUACAGAGGUCUCAAGCGUUGUUCGGAAUCACUGGGCGUAAAGGGUGCGUAGGUGGCGUGGUAAGUCAGAUGUGAAAGCCCGGGGCUCAACCUCGGAACUGCAUCCGAUACUGCCAUGCUAGAGUACUGGAGAGGUGACUAGAAUUCUCGGUGUAGCAGUGAAAUGCGUAGAUAUCGAGAGGAAUACCAAAGGCGUAGCCAGGUCACUGGACAGUUACUGACACUGAGGCACGAAGGCCAGGGGAGCGAACGGGAUUAGAUACCCGGGUAGUCC
RNAcentral lists this ribosomal RNA (449 nucleotides) under uncultured bacterium. RNAcentral describes it as "partial 16S ribosomal RNA". It matches the Rfam family "Bacterial small subunit ribosomal RNA", at positions 354 to 796 of the family's 1533-position model. The record is from RNAcentral.